AAAGUCGUAACAAGGUUUCCGUAGGUGAACCUGCGGAAGGAUCAUCAUUGAAUCCAUCUCUACAAACCUUUGUGCACCGUAACUUACGCAGUUGUUGGCAGGUCAAGUCUUGCCUAGUGCAAGUCUGGUUAGUGGUGCGUUGCUUUCUAGGCUCUUGGGCUUGGGUGCACGCGUUGCUGACGCCUGCCAGCAGCUCCUGUUCAACACAAACUUUUGAUGUACCAAUGAAGUCUAAUGUAAAGUAAAUAACAAAAAAACAACUUUCAACAAUGGAUCUCUUGGUUCUC
RNAcentral lists this unclassified non-coding RNA (287 nucleotides) under Glomeromycotina sp. RNAcentral describes it as "partial contains small subunit ribosomal RNA, internal transcribed spacer 1, and 5.8S ribosomal RNA". The stretch from base 1 to 47 matches the Rfam family "Eukaryotic small subunit ribosomal RNA", at positions 1785 to 1831 of the family's 1831-position model. The record is from RNAcentral. Lineage: Eukaryota; Fungi; Glomeromycota.